UGACAUAAAAUAUGAACAAAUAUUACUAAAAAUUUAUUUUAAAAUGAGUAGAAAAGCAAGAAAAUGAAAAAGAAAGAAAUGUUAAUUAUUACAUCAUGCUUAUGUAAUUAAAAUGUGCCCCACCAAUCAAAUGAAGACAAGCCUUUAUAAACAAACUUAAAUUAGAGUUAAAUGGGCUGAAAUUUAAGAGAAAAAUCUGCUUCUUCUUCCUCCUUGAACCCAGCCGAAACUCUCUCUCACUCCCUCCACCAUUUUUGUUCAACAAGAGCUUUCUCUCUCCUUCACUUCCACCAUAAAACCACUUACCCCCCUUCACUAAACUUGAUCCUUGCAACUAGAAUAGUCUUGAGGCAGCAAUUUGAGGGAAAAAUCUUGAAGAUUAACAAGCUCAAGUGGGAGCUCUAACAAGGUUAGUGUCCAAUCUCCUCAUUUUUUUUUUAAUUCAUGUUUAGGAAGUUGAAUUGAGUUGGGAUUUAUGAGGAAUUGAAAUGAAAUUCAUUGGCAUGGCCACUUUACAUUUUCGGCAGCCAUGGUAAUCUUAGUGUAGUGAUGAAUUUUUUUUUUAUUUAAAGGAGUGUAUAGGCUGCCCUUGAUGUGAAUGUAUCACUUCAAUUAUUAAUUUAUGAGUUUGGUGCAAGAAAUUAGAACUUAGCAAAAUUUAGGGCUAGGGUUUGGGCAACAAAUUUAUGAUUUUGCUCAUGUAUUGGUGAAAGGA
This 715-nucleotide unclassified non-coding RNA is filed under the name Hevea brasiliensis (rubber tree). The record is from RNAcentral. Lineage: Eukaryota; Viridiplantae; Streptophyta; Magnoliopsida; Malpighiales; Euphorbiaceae.